GAUGAACGCUGGCGGCGUGCCUAAUACAUGCAAGUCGAACGAACGGACGAGAAGCUUGCUUGUCUGAUGUUAGCGGCGGACGGGUGAGUAACACGUGGAUAACCUACCUGUAAUACGGGUAUCACUUCGGAAAACCGUAUCUAAUACCGGAUAAUAUUUUGAACCGCGGUGUUCAAAAGUGAAAGACGGUCUUGCUGGCACUUAUAGAUGGAUCCGCGCUGCAUUAGCUAGUUGGUAAGGUAACGGCUUACCAAGGCAACGAUGCAUGGACGACCUGAGGGAGGGAUCGGCCACACUGGAACGGAGACACGGUCAAGACUCCUACGGGACGGAGCAGAAGGGAAUCUUCCGCAGUAGGCGGAAGCAUGACGGAGCAACGCCGCGUGAGUGAUGAAGGUCUUCGGAUCGUAAUACUCUGUUAUUAGGUAAGAACAUCUGUGUAAGUAAAUGUGCCCAUCUUGACGGUACCUAAUCAGAAAGCAACGGCUAACUACGUG
Molecule: ribosomal RNA, 497 nt
Filed under: uncultured bacterium
Lineage: Bacteria
Description: partial 16S ribosomal RNA
Rfam family: Bacterial small subunit ribosomal RNA
Source: RNAcentral